GAUGAACGCUGGCGGCGUGCCUAAUACAUGCAAGUCGAGCGAACAGACGAGGAGCUUGCUCCUCUGACGUUAGCGGCGGACGGGUGAGUAACACGUGGAUAACCUACCUAUAAGACUGGGAUAACUUCGGGAAACCGGAGCUAAUACCGGAUAAUAUAUUGAACCGCAUGGUUCAAUAGUGAAAGACGGUUUUGCUGUCACUUAUAGAUGGAUCCGCGCCGCAUUAGCUAGUUGGUGAGGUAACGGCUUACCAAGGCAACGAUGCGUAGCCGACCUGAGAGGGUGAUCGGCCACACUGGAACUGAGACACGGUCCAGACUCCUACGGGAGGCAGCAGUAGGGAAUCUUCCGCAAUGGGCGAAAGCCUGACGGAGCAACGCCGCGUGAGUGAUGAAGGUCUUCGGAUCGUAAAACUCUGUUAUUAGGGAAGAACAAAUGUGUAAGUAACUAUGCACGUCUUGACGGUACCUAAUCAGAAAGCCACGGCUAACUACGUG
Molecule: ribosomal RNA, 497 nt
Filed under: uncultured bacterium
Lineage: Bacteria
Description: partial 16S ribosomal RNA
Rfam family: Bacterial small subunit ribosomal RNA
Source: RNAcentral